GGUCCCGUAGCUCAGCUGGAUAGAGCAUCAGAUUUCUAAUCUGAGGGUCACAGGUUCGAAUCCUGUCGGGAUCACCA
RNAcentral lists this transfer RNA (77 nucleotides) under Bacteroidota bacterium. RNAcentral describes it as "Bacteroidetes bacterium (hydrothermal vent metagenome) tRNA-Arg". It matches the Rfam family "tRNA". Rfam says of the family: Transfer RNA (tRNA) molecules are approximately 80 nucleotides in length. Lineage: Bacteria; Pseudomonadati; Bacteroidota. RNAcentral also lists the same sequence under 1 other name. The record is from RNAcentral.